GAGAACCGAUACCGCGAGGUGGAGGAAAUCUACAAAACUGGGCCCAGUUCGGAUUGGAGGCUGCAACUCGCCUCCAUGAAGUUGGAAUCGCUAGUAAUGGCACAUCAGCUACGGUGCCGUGAAUACGUUCCCGGGUCUUGUACACACCGCCCGUCACAUCAUGGAAGCCGGUCGUACCCGAAGUGCAUGAGCUAACUUUUUAAGAGGCAGUGCCCUAAGGUAAGGCUGGUAACUGGGAUGAAGUCGUAACAAGGUAACCGUA
This 262-nucleotide ribosomal RNA is filed under the name uncultured bacterium. Its description in RNAcentral is "partial 16S ribosomal RNA". It matches the Rfam family "Bacterial small subunit ribosomal RNA", at positions 1244 to 1504 of the family's 1533-position model. The record is from RNAcentral.